This 497-nucleotide ribosomal RNA is filed under the name uncultured bacterium. RNAcentral describes it as "partial 16S ribosomal RNA". It matches the Rfam family "Bacterial small subunit ribosomal RNA", at positions 28 to 507 of the family's 1533-position model. The record is from RNAcentral.
GACGAACGCUGGCGGCGUGCCUAAUACAUGCAAGUCGAGCGCUUAAGGUUGGUUCUUGUAUCAACUGGAUGAGCAGCGAACGGGUGAGUCACGCGUGUGUAAUCUGCCUUUGAGGGGGGGACCACAUUUCGAAACGAAUUCUAACACCGCAUAAAAGCUUUAAACACAGGUUUUAUGUUUGAAAGAUGCAAUUGCUUCACUCAAAGAUGAUCCCGCGUUUUAUUAGCUAGUUGGUGAGGUAAAGGCUCACCAAUGCGAUGGUACAUAGCCGGCCCGGGAGGGAGGACCGCUCACACGGGAACGGAGACACGGCCAAACCUCCUACGGGGGGAGGCAGAGGGGAACUUUGGACAUGGGGGGAAGGCUGGACGCAGAAAGCCGGGGGAGGGAAAGAAGUUCUCGGGUCGGAAAACUCCGUUGGUAGAGAAGAACGUUGGUGAGAGUGGAAAGCUCAUGAAGUGACGGUACCAACACAGAAAGCAACGGCUAACUACGUG